UAGAGUUUGAUCCUGGCUCAGGAUAAACGCUGGCGGCGUGCGUAACACAUGCAAGUUGGGCGACGACGUUUCUGAAGCAGAGAUGUGGAGGGGCGAGCGGAGCAGCGGACGGGUGAGUAUAACAUGAGAAGCUGUCCUGAAGCGGGGGACAACGUUUGGAAACGGACGCUAAUACCCCAUAGGCCGAGAGGUUAAAGCCGAGAGGUGCUUUAGGAGGUGCUCGUGACCUAUCAGCUAGCUGGUGAGGUAAAGGCUCACCAGGGCGACGACGGGUAGCCGGCCUGAGAGGGUGUACGGCCACACUGGGACUGAGAUACGGCCCAGACUCCUACGGGAGGCAGCAGUGGGGAAUAUUGGGCAAUGGGAGGAAUCCUGACCCAGCGACGCCGCGUGAACGAAGACGGUCUUAGGAUUGUAAAGUUCUUUUAUGUGGGAAGAAGGAAGUGACGGUACCACAUGAAUAAGCCCCGGCUAACUACGUGCC
RNAcentral lists this ribosomal RNA (484 nucleotides) under uncultured organism. RNAcentral's name for it is "SSU rRNA". It matches the Rfam family "Bacterial small subunit ribosomal RNA", at positions 1 to 509 of the family's 1533-position model. The record is from RNAcentral.